This is a regulatory RNA element of 328 nucleotides. It matches the Rfam family "cspA thermoregulator". The record is from Rfam.
AAUUGUGUUACCGUAAAUUCUUUAUAGGUGUUAAUAACAUGUGUUAGUUACUUUUUAUUUUUAUAUCCUAGGAGGAUUUAGUUCAUGAAAAAUGGUACUGUAAAAUGGUUCAAUGCUGAUAAGGGUUAUGGCUUUAUUACUGGUGAAGAUGGCAACGAUGUAUUCGUUCACUUCUCAGCUAUCCAAACUGACGGUUUCAAGACCUUAGAAGAAGGCCAAAAAGUUACUUUUGAUGAAGAAUCAAGCGAUCGUGGCCCACAAGCUGCUAACGUUGUUCCUCAAUAAGCUUAGCUUUUAAAAGGGCUGCCCGUGUGGCGGCUCUUUUUUU